GUGACGCGCAUGAAUGGA
This 18-nucleotide non-coding RNA is filed under the name Arabidopsis thaliana (thale cress). RNAcentral also lists the same sequence under 2 other names. The record is from RNAcentral. Lineage: Eukaryota; Viridiplantae; Streptophyta; Magnoliopsida; Brassicales; Brassicaceae.